GCUUAACACAUGCAAGUCGAGGGGCAGCAUUUUAGUUUGCUUGCAAACUGAGGAUGGCGACCGGCGCACGGGUGAGUAACACGUAUCCAACCUACCGAUAACUCCGGAAUAGCCUUUCGAAAGAAAGAUUAAUACCGGAUAGCAUACGAAUAUCGCAUGAUAUUUUUAUUAAAGAAUUUCGGUUAUCGAUGGGGAUGCGUUCCAUUAGUUUGUUGGCGGGGUAACGGCCCACCAAGACUACGAUGGAUAGGGGUUCUGAGAGGAAGGUCCCCCACAUUGGAACUGAGACACGGUCCAAACUCCUACGGGAGGCAGCAGUGAGGAAUAUUGGUCAAUGGGCGAGAGCCUGAACCAGCCAAGUAGCGUGAAGGAUGAAGGCUCUAUGGGUCGUAAACUUCUUUUAUAUGGGAAUAAAGUUUUCCACGUGUGGAAUUUUGUAUGUACCAUAUGAAUAAGGAUCGGCUAACUCCGUGCCAGCAGCCGCGGUAAUACGGAGGAUCCGAGCGUUAUCCGGAUUUAUUGGGUUUAAAGGGAGCGUAGGUGGAUUGUUAAGUCAGUUGUGAAAGGUUGCGGCUCAACCGUAAAAUUGCAGUUGAAACUGACAGUCUUGAGUACAGUAGAGGUGGGCGGAAUUCGUGGUGUAGCGGUGAAAUGCUUAGAUAUCACGAAGAACUCCGAUUGCGAAGGCAGCUCACUAGACUGUCACUGACACUGAUGCUCGAAAGUGUGGGUAUCAAACAGGAUUAGAUACCCUGGUAGUCCACACAGUAAACGAUGAAUACUCGCUGUUUGCGAUAUACAGUAAGCGGCCAAGCGAAAGCAUUAAGUAUUCCACCUGGGGAGUACGCCGGCAACGGUGAAACUCAAAGGAAUUGACGGGGGCCCGCACAAGCGGAGGAACAUGUGGUUUAAUUCGAUGAUACGCGAGGAACCUUACCCGGGCUUAAAUUGCAACAGAAUAUAUUGGAAACAGUAUAGCCGUAAGGCUGUUGUGAAGGUGCUGCAUGGUUGUCGUCAGCUCGUGCCGUGAGGUGUCGGCUUAAGUGCCAUAACGAGCGCAACCCCUAUCUUUAGUUACUAACAGGUUAUGCUGAGGACUCUAGAGAGACUGCCGUCGUAAGAUGUGAGGAAGGUGGGGAUGACGUCAAAUCAGCACGGCCCUUACGUCCGGGGCUACACACGUGUUACAAUGGGGGGUACAGAGGGCGGCUACCUGGUGACAGGAUGCUAAUCCCAAAAACCUCUCUCAGUUCGGAUCGAAGUCUGCAACCCGACUUCGUGAAGCUGGAUUCGCUAGUAAUCGCGCAUCAGCCAUGGCGCGGUGAAUACGUUCCCGGGCCUUGUACACACCGCCCGUCAAGCCAUGAAAGCCGGGGGUACCUGAAGUACGUAACCGCAAGGAGCGUCCUAGGGUAAAACUGGUAAUUGGGGCUAAG
Molecule: ribosomal RNA, 1436 nt
Filed under: uncultured organism
Description: 16S ribosomal RNA
Rfam family: Bacterial small subunit ribosomal RNA
Source: RNAcentral